RNAcentral lists this ribosomal RNA (497 nucleotides) under uncultured bacterium. RNAcentral's name for it is "partial 16S ribosomal RNA". It matches the Rfam family "Bacterial small subunit ribosomal RNA", at positions 28 to 507 of the family's 1533-position model. The record is from RNAcentral.
GACGAACGCUGGCGGCGUGCCUAAUACAUGCAAGUUGAGCGAUGAAGAUUGGUGCUUGCACCAAUUUGAAGAGCAGCGAACGGGUGAGUAACGCGUGGGGAAUCUGCCUUUGAGCGGGGGACAACAUUUGGAAACGAAUGCUAAUACCGCAUAACAACUUUAAACAUAAGUUUUAAGUUUGAAAGAUGCAAUUGCAUCACUCAAAGAUGAUCCCGCGUUGUAUUAGCUAGUUGGUGAGGUAAAGGCUCACCAAGGCGAUGAUACAUAGCCGACCUGAGAGGGUGAUCGGCCACAUUGGGACUGAGACACGGCCCAAACUCCUACGGGAGGCAGCAGUAGGGAAUCUUCGGCAACGGACGGAAGUCUGACCGAGCAACGCCGCGUGAGUGAAGAAGGUUUUCGGAUCGUAAAACUCUGUUGGUAGAGAAGAACGUUGGUGAGAGUGGAAAGCUCAUCAAGUGACGGUAACUACCCAGAAAGGGACGGCUAACUACGUG